RNAcentral lists this non-coding RNA (27 nucleotides) under Bombyx mori (domestic silkworm). Lineage: Eukaryota; Metazoa; Arthropoda; Insecta; Lepidoptera; Bombycidae. The record is from RNAcentral.
UAUUCGGAAUUGUCGUUUGUCGGUGUC